AGAGAGGCAGAGGGAGAAGCAGGCUCCAUGCAGAGAGCCUGACGUGGGACUCGAUCCAGGGUCUCCAGGAUCAUGCCCUGGGCUGCAGGCGGUGCUAAACCGCUGCGCCACCAGGGCUGCCCUAAAGGCAAGUUUCAUAAUCUAUACUUCAGCUCAUCUGUAAAAUGGAGAUAAAAGUAUCCAACAUCUUUGGGUGGCUGUGAAGAUGAAAUGAUAUAAUUCAAUAAAUGUUAAUUUUUAAAAGAUUUUAUUUAUUUAAGAAAGAGAGAGCACACAUGUUCAGGGGCGGGGAGGGGUACAAGCAGAUUCCAUGCUGAGUGCGGAACCCCCGCAGAGAUCAUGAUCUAAGCCUAAAUCAAGAGUCCACAACUUAACCUACUGAGCCACCCAGGUGCCCCUAUAAAUGUCAACUUUUAUUAUGGAAGAACAAGUUGGAUAAAGAGAAACAGAUCAACAAAAUCCAGGCAGAUGUGAAUGAGGGCCAUUUAAAAAUUUAUGGAGUCAACGGUCCAAAUAAGAUCUACUUCAAGAUCAUUCUGGUAGCAGUGAAAGGCUUGACUGAACAUAAAUCACAAAGGUCUGAAAAGUCCAUUAGAAGGCUCUAAUAAUAAUACAAGGAAGAAAGAAAAACCUGAUGGUUAGCAACAGAGAUAUACAUACAGGAAUGUAGACAGGGAGAUGGGUCAGAGAGCCAACUAUAAGGAAUUGCCUUCAAAAAUCAAAGUAUAGUGAUUUUAUUGGAUUGGGAAGCUGAAGAAGAUAUCGAGGUUUCUGACUUAACUGAUAAGGUGUUUGAUCAUACCAUUCACUAUAUCAAGGAACAUAAGAGAAACCCAGGUUAGUAUGAGAUAAUUCUUGUUUUGGCCUUCUUAAGCUUGAGAAAUCCAAAGACAAUCCAAGAAAAGAUCUAUACUGAACAAUCUAGAGCUCAGAAGAGAUGUCAAGGCACAAGAAAAGAUAAAUCAAUGUAAAGAUGGUAGUAGAAGUGAUUAGAACUUUAUGAUUGCUCAGUGAGCAUAUGUAAAGUGAGAAAAGGGCCUGGAACAUAACCUUAAAGAGUUCUCAAUAUUUUAUGUGGUGAGCAUAACCAAGGAAUAUAAAAGGGAGACAAAGAACAGAUAAGUAAGAAGAAAAUCAGAAGAAUUAUUUAAAAAGCCAUAUGAGUGCUAAGAAUGAAAAGGGAAGGAAGAUGCCUAACAGAGCAAAACGUUCAAGGGUGAGUUUACUUCUUAUGACAAAAAGGAGUGGGAAUUGUCAUUUUUCUAUACUUUCUGCUAAAUGUCUGUCAUCUAUCACCUCCCUUAUGCCUCAGAACAAAAAUCUGUCAAGUGGGUAUUAAAACUCCCACGUUACUACCAGGAAAUGGUAAAUGAUUUAGGAGAUAAAAUAAUGUGAAGGUAGUUUAUAUAAUAUAAAAGCCAGGUCAGCCUGCUCCUAAAUCCCAUACUCUACCUACUGCCCUACUGCCCUACUGCCAUCUUUAAGACACAGAUGAUAGAAAACAGUACAGUGGAAUUGUGAGGUGAAAUCCUAGCUAAAGCUAAAGAUGACAAUAAAAUGUUAUUUUUUUAAGAUUUUAUUUAUUCAUGAGACACAAACACACACACACAGGCAGAGGGAGAAGCAAGCUCCAUGCAGGGAGCCCGACGCGGGACACGAUCCCAGGUCUCCAGGAUCACGCCCCUGGCUGCAGGCGGCGCUAAACCGCUGCGCCACCCGGGCUGCCCAAAUAGAAGUUAUUGUUUUACAAGAUUUGUUGUGAAAAGGAAAGACGACACAUUCCAGGGAUUACUUUAGACUACUAAUUCAACUGCAAUUUAAUAGGUAUUUUUUAAUUUUUUUUUUUUAUUUAUUUAUGAUAGUCACACAGAGAGAAAGAGAGAGAGGCAGAGACACAGGCAGAGGGAGAAGCAGGCUCCGUGCACCAGGAGCCCGACGUGGGAU
This 1944-nucleotide long non-coding RNA is filed under the name Canis lupus familiaris (dog). Its description in RNAcentral is "lncRNA (ENSCAFG00000056330.1)". Lineage: Eukaryota; Metazoa; Chordata; Mammalia; Carnivora; Canidae. The record is from RNAcentral.